CUAUGUUCGGUUACAGUGUCUACAGGGGCACUGUAGUUCGGCUUCAAAAACACGGCCAUGGCACGCGUCGCCGUACAGCUGUAUAGGUGUUUUGUGGUACAGCCAAGACAAGACUAGCCAGUCUAAACUUUUGCGCCGUGUGUGUGCUGUAUAUGAACAUGUGCCGGGUGUUUUGUUUUGACUCGGUUAAUAUUGAUGGUGCGUAUUUCGGUGGUUUUCAGUCAUGUCAAUCUUACGUUUCGUGCCCGUCAUAGUGUUCUUCUGCUAUAUAGCUCAGUUACAUUCUCAGUUCACUGGCAUCGUGUAGAAAAGACGGACAUAGUGACCUUGUGAAUGGUUUGGCAGCGUGGAAUGUGCCAGGACAUUUGGCCAGGGUAUGGACAGUGCGGACUUUGCUGUGGACGCUGCCUAAAGGCAGAAAUGGUAAGUCUGUUGCAGCCUCCAAAAGAACCUUGCUCAGAGAUGUGACUGGCGACAACUGAAGGUGAGCUCAUUCGAACGCUUUAUUUAGCUUGAGUGUGUGAGACAGACCUGCAUCACCUUCCGUGGACAUGCUCCGGGAUGAAGACUGCCCGUCACCUUCACCAUGAGGGUAUUUGUCUCAAAUGGCCGUCAGGCUGGUUCAACUUGGCAUGGAACACAUUUCUGCAAUGCCUGAUUCUUUUUCAUAUUAAAAAAAAAAUUAUGUUGGAGAGGGGGCUUCACAAUUACAUGUAGCAAAAUUUUGCAGGCUACAGGGCCGCCAGACAAUUAACAAAUUAUCUUGAGUGUGCCGUUGUGUUUGUGAUAUUGGACCUUCAAGUUUCAUAGUGUAGUACAGUGCAUGGAAUAUAGUUAUCAUGUGGUGUGUAAUCCACUGUGGUUACUUAGUAGCUUUGGUGUUGCACUGCUACAAUGUACUAGAAUACUUUCCCGUGGCACGACCGCGCCUCUCCACUUGACGCGCGCGGCGUCUCCUGCAGCGGCGGCGCUGCCAUCGACCACUCUUGAAAGCUCGCCUCUGCAGCGUACACGGCACACCAGAAUGGAAGGCUUGUUUGGUUACAUACCAGCGCUGUCUCAACAUAAUUCAACUGUUGGCUUGCCAUUUAUUUAAAUUAUUUUUUCAGGCAACUUUAUCAGCGUCGACUUUUAUUGAACUGACCCUACGAUUUCGGACUUUUCAUUGUAAACAGAACUAGAAGCAGACAAAAGCCAGUCGAUUAUUUUUCGCGACCUCAGCAUUUCGCUAACACGGGUAAGAAUAUUUCGAGAGUUCGAAAUUUCGCAAAGCAGAGGUUCUUUGUGGGACAAUUCUGCGAUUUUCAAGAAGAAUCGUUUACAGUAUUUGCCAUUUGGGACAGAUGCAAAAGAAUUGGUUGAUUUAAUUUGCACAUUAUUUCAUACACGUGCUCGCGGUAAGCAAGAUUUAAAACGCGAUGCCAACAAGAAAAAUAAAGUGCGAAACUGCGCGCAGUGCUUGACAAAUUUUAUUCCACAUGCUUUUCAUCUUAUUCAGAAUAACACAAGGAGAGCAAGCGCUUGCAAUACAUGGUUGCAAGGGCUGCACAAAUGUAACUAAUUAAGCCUGCUCAGCUUGAGGUGUUCCGCUGCCUUUUGCUUUGACAGCAUAUUGGACUUGUUCAAGCCCUUGACAAAAAAUGCAGCUGUGUGGUUACAUAAAAGCUUUAAGGGAGCAGCGCAAUGUAUCAUGUGCAAGAUGUCCAUCAAACUUUCACGGUGUAUUUUUCGUGCACUGAAACAACUUGUGAAAAUGUCCUCUAGCCUGGUUAUAAAACGAAACAGUUCAAGCGAGGGGUAGAGCAAGCCUCCUUGAUCAUUGUGCUGCAAAUGCUGCAGCAUGCAAGCGGCGCCUGUGCUCUGCUGGAAGUAAUAGGCUGUCGAUACAAACAGAGCACUUGCUUGGAAGCACACAUUUCUUAGCCACGUAGCCAGAGAUAUAAUAAAUUAGCCUAGAGUCACUUUGCUGCACAUGGUAAUCAUGCUACACUGCUUCAGCAUUGUCACAUGAGCCCGAAGGUCCCGCUUGCUCUUCUGUGCAGAGCUUCACUGUGUAAACCAGCUUUUCCUUUGCGGUUUCCUCCUUGUCCCUAGUAUCAAGAAGAGAACUGAUGACAUUGCUGUCCGCAUUCCCACCUGCAACACUGCGAGCCAAGUUAUAAAAAGACAGACAGUGAACUGUGAGCACGAACUGUUGCGGCGUCGGGUGAGAGUUGCAGCCAGAUGACAGCCUAACGAUCCCGAAGAAGUUCCCCGCUUUAUCCUGACUAAGCCGGGACUUCAACAUGUAGCUAUCGCCAGCUUGUUCGUGCAAAUAGCGAAGGAGCUCAAGAGUUCUUGUCAGGGUGACUCUUACGCCCUCUGCUGUUGACUCACUGAGGAAAUGCUUCUUAUGAGCACGCUGCUGCCAGAUGUCCAAGAAACUAAGCAUCUCCUUUAUUUUCUCAACACCUGCAGAGUGUCUCAGUGCUUCUGCUGGCUACCUUGCAGUCAUUACACCAAUCAGGGACUUCAUUCUCAUGAACCUUCCUGUGGCUUCAGUAUUACCGCAGCUCCUCUCCAGCUGAGUCUGGUACAGAAAAAAUGCUCGCAAAGGACCAUGGCCAAACAGUUGGAAAGCAUAACUUGACCGCAUUUUUUCAAAAUUGUUGGGGCUGAUAUGCACGCUUGUUAUUCCUGGCAUUGCCUUCAUUGUGACAGUAUUACUGUCGAGUUUGAAAGCCUCUAGAGCAAACUGCAUGGAAACAGAA
Dermacentor albipictus is the source of this 2750-nucleotide long non-coding RNA. RefSeq lists it as uncharacterized. The record is from RefSeq and is a predicted model, not a curated record. Lineage: Eukaryota; Metazoa; Arthropoda; Arachnida; Ixodida; Ixodidae.